CAGUAGCCGCGGGAAUACGUAGGUGGCAAGCGUUGUCCGGAAUUAUUGGGCGUAAAGGGCUCGCAGGCGGUUUCUUAAGUCUGGUGUGAAAGCCCCCGGCUCAACCGGGGAGGGUCAUUGGAAACUGGGAAACUUGAGUGCGGAAGAGGAGAGUGGAAUUCCACGUGUAGCGGUGAAAUGCGUAGAGAUGUGGAGGAACACCAGUGGCGAAGGCGACUCUCUGGUCUGUAACUGACGCUGAGGAGCGAAAGCGUGGGGAGCGAACAGGAUUAGAUACCCCAGUAGUCCCUGUCUCUUAUAC
RNAcentral lists this ribosomal RNA (301 nucleotides) under uncultured bacterium. RNAcentral's name for it is "partial 16S ribosomal RNA". It matches the Rfam family "Bacterial small subunit ribosomal RNA", at positions 509 to 807 of the family's 1533-position model. The record is from RNAcentral.